GACGAACGCUGGCGGCGUGCUUAACACAUGCAAGUCGAACGGAAAGGCCCCCUUGUGGGGUACUCGAGUGGCGAACGGGUGAGUAACACGUGAGUAACCUACCCUUGACUUUGGGAUAACUUCAGGAAACUGGGGCUAAUACCGGAUAGGAGCUCCUGCUGCAUGGUGGGGGUUGGAAAGUUUCGGCGGUUGGGGAUGGACUCGCGGCUUAUCAGCUUGUUGGUGGGGUAGUGGCUCACCAGGGCUUUGACGGGUAGCCGGCCUGAGAGGGUGACCGGCCACAUUGGGACUGAGAUACGGCCCAGACUCCUACGGGAGGCAGCAGUGGGGAAUAUUGCACAAUGGGCGGAAGCCUGAUGCAGCAACGCCGCGUGCGGGAUGACGGCCUUCGGGUUGUAAACCGCUUUCGCCUGUGACGAAGCGUGAGUGACGGUAAUGGGUAAAGAAGCACCGGCUAACUACGUG
RNAcentral lists this ribosomal RNA (465 nucleotides) under uncultured bacterium. RNAcentral's name for it is "partial 16S ribosomal RNA". It matches the Rfam family "Bacterial small subunit ribosomal RNA", at positions 28 to 507 of the family's 1533-position model. The record is from RNAcentral.